Molecule: long non-coding RNA, 232 nt
Filed under: Elaeis guineensis (African oil palm)
Lineage: Eukaryota; Viridiplantae; Streptophyta; Magnoliopsida; Arecales; Arecaceae
Description: long non-coding RNA (EGUI_LNC065723)
Source: RNAcentral
GAUCGAUUUGUAGAUCAUGAACUUCAGUAAGUUCAAUAUUCCUCCCACUGUCUCUUUCUUGGAUGAGUUCAUUUUUCAAAAAAGUAUCAUGCCUACUAACAAACACCUUUUGUUCAGUAGGUGGUAGAAGUAGUAUCCAUUAGUUUUCUUAGGAUACCCUACAAACCUAUAUUUAUUUGAUCUAUCACUAAGCUUAUAUCCAAAAAUAUUUCUGACAUAAGCAGGACAGCCC